RNAcentral lists this ribosomal RNA (253 nucleotides) under uncultured bacterium. RNAcentral describes it as "partial 16S ribosomal RNA". It matches the Rfam family "Bacterial small subunit ribosomal RNA", at positions 524 to 776 of the family's 1533-position model. The record is from RNAcentral.
UACGUAUGGUGCAAGCGUUAUCCGGAUUUACUGGGCGUAAAGGGAGCGUAGACGGCAUGGCAAGCCAGAUGUGAAAUACCGGGGCUCAACCCCGGGACUGCAUUUGGAACUGUUAAGCUGGAGUGUCGGAGAGGCAGGCGGAAUUCCUAGUGUAGCGGUGAAAUGCGUAGAUAUUAGGAGGAACACCAGUGGCGAAGGCGGCCUGCUGGACGAUAACUGACGUUGAGGCUCGAAAGCGUGGGGAGCAAACAGG